RNAcentral lists this ribosomal RNA (254 nucleotides) under uncultured bacterium. RNAcentral describes it as "partial 16S ribosomal RNA". It matches the Rfam family "Bacterial small subunit ribosomal RNA", at positions 524 to 776 of the family's 1533-position model. The record is from RNAcentral.
CACGUAGGCACCAAGCGUUGUCCGGAUUUAUUGGGCGUAAAGAGCUCGUAGGCGGCUUGUCGCGUCGACUGUGAAAACCCGUGGCUCAACCAUGUGGUCUGCAGUCGAUACGGGCAGGCUAGAAUUCGGUAGGGGAGACUGGAAUUCCUGGUGUAGCGGUGAAAUGCGCAGAUAUCAGGAGGAACACCGGUGGCGAAGGCGGGUCUCUGGGCCGAUAUUGACGCUGAGGAGCGAAAGCGUGGGGAGCGAACAGG